Molecule: ribosomal RNA, 253 nt
Filed under: uncultured bacterium
Lineage: Bacteria
Description: partial 16S ribosomal RNA
Rfam family: Bacterial small subunit ribosomal RNA
Source: RNAcentral
UACAGAGACUGCAAGCGUUAUUCGGAUUCACUGGGCGUAAAGGGUGCGUAGGCGGUCUUGUGCGUCGGCGCUGAAAUCACACGGCUCGACCGUGUGGCGCGUGCCGAUACGACGAGACUUGAGGCUCUGAGAGGGUGGCGGAACUCCUGGUGUAGUGGUGAAAUGCGUAGAGAUCAGGAAGAACACCCGUGGCGCAAGCGGCCACCUGGCAGAGUUCUGACGCUGAGGCACGAAAGCGUGGGGAGCGAACCGG